GAUGAACGCUGACGGAAUGCUUAACACAUGCAAGUCGAUGGGGAAGUGGUGCUUGCACCAUGGUAACCAUGGCGGACGGGUGAGUAACGCGUAAGGAACUUGCCUGCGGGACUGGGAUAACAGCAGGAAACUGCUGAUAAUACCGGAUAAGGUCAUUAAGCUGCAUAGCUUAGUGAUGAAAGGAGACGCCUGCGGAGAGCCUUGCGUCCUAUUAGCUAGUUGGAGGGGUAACGGCCCACCAAGGCGAAGAUAGGUAGCCGGCCUGAGAGGGUGGACGGCCACAAGGGGACUGAGAUACGGCCCUUACUCCUACGGGAGGCAGCAGUGGGGAAUAUUGGACAAUGGGGGCAACCCUGAUCCAGCAAUUCUGUGUGCACGAAGACGGUUUUCGGAUUGUAAAGUGCUUUCAGCAGGGAAGAAGGAAGUGACGGUACCUGCAGAAGAAGCGACGGCUAAAUACGUG
Molecule: ribosomal RNA, 463 nt
Filed under: uncultured bacterium
Lineage: Bacteria
Description: partial 16S ribosomal RNA
Rfam family: Bacterial small subunit ribosomal RNA
Source: RNAcentral